UACGUAGGGUGCGAGCGUUGUCCGGAAUUAUUGGGCGUAAAGAGCUCGUAGGCGGCUUGUUGCGUCUGCCGUGAAAAUUCACAGCUUAACUGUGGACGUGCGGUGGAUACGGGCAGGCUUGAGUGCGGUAGGGGAGACUGGAAUUCCUGGUGUAGCGGUGAAAUGCGCAGAUAUCAGGAGGAACACCGGUGGCGAAGGCGGGUCUCUGGACAGUUCCUGACGCUGAGGCACGAAGGCCAGGGGAGCAAACGGG
RNAcentral lists this ribosomal RNA (253 nucleotides) under uncultured bacterium. RNAcentral describes it as "partial 16S ribosomal RNA". It matches the Rfam family "Bacterial small subunit ribosomal RNA", at positions 524 to 776 of the family's 1533-position model. The record is from RNAcentral.